UGUCGUGUUGUCGGUGUGUGGGUGAGGCCGGUAAUUAGCGCCGAAUUAUUGGUAAUUUGGUUCUGAUAGGUAAAAUUAGCAUUUUUUAAAUAAUUUAGAUCAUGUUUGUAAAUUUGAAUAGCCUCAACGUUCAUGUGCGUCGGUAUAAGUGUUGAAAUAUCGCGAUAGAAUUUAUGAUGAUUUUGUAGGCUUUCAUGGCGCAUGCUUUCCGCGGUAUAAUAUUUUAAUUAUUUACGAAAUGUAUUGCUAUUUAUAGGGUUAUAGUUUAUCUUAAAGUAAAUAAUAGGCCUAUUUUGUUGUUUGGGGCAAUUGUUGAUAAGAGAGGCACAUUUAACUGCCCACAGUAGCUAGAAAUGUUAUGGCCUGGCAGGUUGUGCAAAAGUUUGCAGUGUGGCCAUAUCAUUUAUUCAGUCAAUUGUCUGUGCAAGCAGGGACCAAUAGGAUAUAUCUUUUAGUUUUUAAUGAAAAGUUAAAUUUGGGCUUAUGCUAGGUUAUUCAUACUUGCAUUUUAAGUGGCUUUGUCAUGGAUUCAUAGAACAAUAAUAGAAAGUGGUGACUGCAAAUGUGUCUGUUUUUCCACAGCUCAUCAAAGCACCACCUCCUCGCUGUUGCAGUGGGCGUCACCACAGUAUUGUUCAGGAAGCUCGUGAUAAUGGUACCUAUGGUUCUACGUUGAGGAACGCUCAAUCAAAAAAUGAUAUGAUGAACUUCUUUGGAAUUAAGCGGACUAAGUACAGCUACAUUUGUAUUAUGUGCAUCGCUCAUGCAAGACAGCAGGCCAGGAUGCAGGGACACACAGUUGCAGGGGAUGAGCUGGAGAACCAGCAGCGCAUUCUCCAAGAGACGACGGAAGCCAACGGAGGCCCGCAAAACUUUCCAUCCCAUAAUCGUGAAUGGAGAGCUGGGCGGGGAAGACGCGGUAUUCGUCGAGGUCCAGGAGGUGGUAUCGGCGCCACCAGACCAAGCAUUCCUGCUGUGGCAGGCCGCCUUUUGGAUUUUUAACAUCAAAACUCCUAAAAACAUGGUCAAUCUGAAUUGGUUUCUGAGAACCAAAGUGUUUGAUGGGGUGAAGGCCGAUGUGCCGCCAUCAGCGGCGGCUAUUGCGACCGUGAAGCAAGUGGAGUGAGAUCCCCGUAGAGCAUGCCGCUGCGGGGUGUCGGAAGCGUUUGCCAAUUCUUUGAGCCUUCCACCGGCAGGACUAUAAAUACACAUUUCUUGAAAUAUA
Long non-coding RNA from Amphibalanus amphitrite, 1225 nucleotides. RefSeq lists it as uncharacterized. The transcript is spliced from 2 exons. The record is from RefSeq and is a predicted model, not a curated record. NCBI's taxonomy places the organism in Eukaryota, Metazoa, Arthropoda, Thecostraca, Balanomorpha, Balanidae.